AAUAUUGCACAAUGGGCGAAAGCCUGAUGCAGCAACGCCUCGUGAGUGAUUAAUGCCUUCGGUUCGUAAAGCUCUUUGAUCAGGGAUGAUAAUGACAGUACCUGAAAAACAAGCCACGGCUACCUACGUGCCAGCAGUCGCGGUAAUACGUAGGUGGCGAGCGUUGUCCGGAAUUACUGGGCGUAAAGGAUGCGUAGGUGGAUACUUAAGUGUGAUGUGAAAUCCCCGGGCUCCACCCGGGAACUGGAUUCCAAACUGGGUAUCUAGAGUGCAGGAGAGGAAAGCGGAAUACCUAGUGUAGCGGUGAAAUGCGUAGAUAUUAGGAGGAACACCAGUGGCGAAGGCGGCUUUCUGGACUGUAACUGACACUGAGGCAUAAAAGCGUGGGUAGCAAACAGG
RNAcentral lists this ribosomal RNA (399 nucleotides) under uncultured bacterium. RNAcentral's name for it is "partial 16S ribosomal RNA". It matches the Rfam family "Bacterial small subunit ribosomal RNA", at positions 360 to 776 of the family's 1533-position model. The record is from RNAcentral.